Molecule: ribosomal RNA, 203 nt
Filed under: Trebouxia jamesii
Lineage: Eukaryota; Viridiplantae; Chlorophyta; Trebouxiophyceae; Trebouxiales; Trebouxiaceae
Description: 5.8S ribosomal RNA
Rfam family: 5.8S ribosomal RNA (bases 50-203)
About the family: 5.8S ribosomal RNA (5.8S rRNA) is a component of the large subunit of the eukaryotic ribosome. It is transcribed by RNA polymerase I as part of the 45S precursor that also contains 18S and 28S rRNA.
Source: RNAcentral
ACAGUUCUACUGGCUGGCUUUGCCGGCUGUAGACUGAAUAACUAUAGACAACUCUCAACAACGGAUAUCUUGGCUCCCGUAACGAUGAAGAACGCAGCGAAAUGCGAUACGUAGUGUGAAUUGCAGAAUUCCGUGAACCAUCGAAUCUUUGAACGCAAAUUGCGCUCGAGGCCUCGGCCUAGAGCAUGUCUGCCUCAGCGUCG